GUAGGUGGCAAGCGUUGUCCGGAAUUAUUGGGCGUAAAGCGCGCGCAGGCGGUUCUUUAAGUCUGAAGUGAAAGCCCACGGCUCAACCGUGGAGGGUCAUUGGAAACUGGAGAACUUGAGUACAGAAGAGGAAAGCGGAAUUCCACGUGUAGCGGUGAAGUGCGUAGAGAUGUGGAGGAACACCAGUGGCGAAGGCGGCUUUCUGGUCUGUAACUGACGCUGAGGCGCGAAAGCGUGGGGAGCAAACAGGGAUUAGAUACCCUGGUAGUCCACGCCGUAAACGAUGAGUGCUAAGUGUUAGGGGGUUUCCGCCCCCUUAGUGCUGCAGCUAACGCAUUAAGCACUCCGCCUGGGGAGUACGGCCGCAAGGCUG
RNAcentral lists this ribosomal RNA (373 nucleotides) under uncultured organism. RNAcentral's name for it is "partial 16S ribosomal RNA". It matches the Rfam family "Bacterial small subunit ribosomal RNA", at positions 527 to 896 of the family's 1533-position model. The record is from RNAcentral.